Molecule: long non-coding RNA, 10102 nt
Filed under: Triticum aestivum (bread wheat)
Lineage: Eukaryota; Viridiplantae; Streptophyta; Magnoliopsida; Poales; Poaceae
Description: long non-coding RNA (TAES_LNC008952)
Source: RNAcentral
CGGGCCCGAGGCCGAGGACACCGCCCCGGCGGACCAGAAGAAGGACUCCAAGAAGAGCGCGGCCGCCGGCGCGCCGCGCGCAAGGUGGCUCGCCGCGGCGCUGGCGACCGUGGCCGUGGCUUCCACGCUGGCUUAGGGUAUUUUAUUUCCCUCCCUGGUGCUUGAUCCGUUGGCGUGAUCGAUCGUGGUGUGACGGCGUGCUCGUGUAGUGCUUCUUCCGCGGAAGACAUACUAGUUGUGUGCUCGAUUUUCAUCUGCUUUUUCUUCUUCUCUUUAGAUGUUCUUAUUAUCCGUGAGUUGCCGCCAUGAUUCUGCUCGUGCUACUACAAGAGUACAAGACCACGCAUGAGAGGUUUCAUGCCAUCUUGAGCUCCCCAGACAUUGAUGUUCUUUUGGUCGAUCCGGCGACCGGCGAGUGAAACCUUGGAGCGAACUUGCUCCAUGCCGUGUUAACGGACGAGCGUAUUUUGCGAAUUCUCGUCGACAACAUGUUUUGAGUGACAUGUUCCUAGUCCUACAAAGUCAAUUUGUGGUUGGAGCCAAGUCUCAAAUUAUCUAUGGCGUCUUCGUCAGAUCCUGUAAACAAAUGCAACGACGACGGGUCCGUUGCUUGAACGGCGCGCGAGCUUUCAUUCAUUUCUUGGGACUUCAGCUGUCGGUGGAUGCUUUGCCAUCCCCGGCUCAAGCAGGUCAAACAACACAAACCACACAUGAAAGUAAAAGUAGUGCAGGUGACAAGGAGUAGAAUAAAGAGAGGAGGAAGGAGCGGUGAAAAAGCUUGGCCCGGGCUGAUGCUGAUGCAUGGCGAUCAACAGCGAAAGAAGAAGAGAAGUUACAGCACCUUCCAUUUCGGGCUUUCGGCCUAAUUAUAUCCCCCACAUGGAGCGCUAAAGCUUAGCAGUGAGAGUGAUACCGGCACGCUGGGCCUCCGCCGCUGCCGCUGGCCCACUACGCACGGGGCUCUAGGCGUAGCCCAAACAUCUUUUGGUGCAAGAGAGUGGUGCUCCUCUGGAUUGGACGGUGCACCGAGACGAGACGAUUUAAUGAACAGCAGUCAGCAAUCAUGUGUCGGCCGAGCAAUCUCGUGAACGGUCGAGCAGUUCCCGCGGUCCGGCCGAGGUUGCCGACACGCGCGCGCCACCACCGCGACACCAGCGGCCGAGAAGAGCCAUGCACGCCUAAAGAACGGCCACGGGCACGGCCACGGCAACGGCAACCCGCGCGCACGCCGAUCGGCAAGCCAUCCGCACGCACGCGACGACGGCGAGCUAGUUCGUUAACCAACGCCUGCGCACCCACCCACCCACGUAACGCGCGCGCGCACCGGCGCAGUCAUGGCUCGCACGACGCUGCUCCUAGCCGCGCUCCUCCUUGCCGCCGUGGCCGUGGCGCCGCUGGUCAGGGCCGAGAGCGCCGCCGACGCCCCCGCCCCUGCCGACGCGCCGGCUGCAGACGGCCCGGCGGCCGACUCCAUCGACGAGUCCGCCUACGCGCCGGCCGUGGAGGUCAACAGCUUGGCCGACACGCUGUCGCCGGCGCCUGCCCCCGACGCCUGAAUGGAUGAUGACGUGUACAGUUGCAAGGAUCUGUAUUCCUUUUCCUAAGUAAAUCAUUCAUGGUUGGAUUUUUGGUUUUCCUAGGAAAGCUAGAUGGAUCAUAGCAGUAGGAGUUGUUGCGGUGUCGUGGGCUUUGUGGAAAUCUAGAAAUAAAGCAUUUUUUUCAAAAUAUUUAUCCCUGCGAUCCUUCAAGCAUUAUUACGCAAUCUGCUUAUUGGCCAAAAUUCUGAAUACAGAAAUGAGAACAACGCGGGGUACAAGUCAAAGGAGCAAGGCUUCUGCUGCAAGUGUUAACUGAGAUCUUCAACAAGCCCAGAAGCUGGGCUCCAAGCCUCCAAUGGUCCUUCGCAUUGCUGGUUAAGUUGUUCAUAGACGUUCAAGUUCUUAGUCUUCAGUUUGGUCUUUGUUGCCGCUGCUAUGUAGAUGUUACUUGUGACAAUUCUCGUUUAGGUAUAGCCGAGGUCUUAUCAGCGUUCUUUCACUAUGUGGCCCGAGAGGCACAUCUGUAAGAAUGAAGUUAGUAAUAGUUUGUUAGUGUGUGAGUUUGUUAGACAGUUUGGCUGGGAUAUGCAGGAUGUUGCCGAAAUCUGAUCGCGGUGAACACUCGAUGGUUGGUGUGUAUUAUCAAAUUUCAAAAAUGAAAAUUUGGGGGAAACCUCUUAAUUCAAGAAAAAGUAUAUCACUCAUAUUCUCUGAAAGAAAUAAAAGUUGUACUGGUCAUGUUGUAGACUUUAGUUUUUGCCUAGUUUUACUUUGGUAUCGAUUGACCAAUCUCACUUGUCGCCCAUCGUGUUUCAUUGGGCCCACACACCGCUCAAGCUCUUUCUUAUCCCCUCACAUGGAGCGCUUUCCUAGCCAUUCGUUCCACCGCGUCUCUCUCUUCAUGUGGCCAAUAUUCUACCCUGCCCCAGUUGCAUGUCCCUCACCAUGCAACUCCACUCGACCCAAUUACAUGUUUAUCAUCGACACGUACCUUGCCCUCUGCCCUCGGACCCAAUAGCAAUGUCCAUCCUCAACAUGCAAUCUGCGCCCUCCCAAACUCGACCCAAUUGCAUGUCCAUUUUUGACAUGCAACUUGCCCCAACGAACGGACCUAAUUGUAUGUCAAACCUUGAGACACAACUCCACCCGACCCAAUUGUAUAUGUCCACCCUUAGCACAACUUGCCCUCCGACCCCGACAUAGUUGCAUAUCUACCUUCGACACAUAACUUGCUCCUGAGACGACCCAACUGCAUGUCCAUCCUCCACAAACAACUUGCCUCCUCCUCAAUCCCAACACACAGUUGCAUGAUAAACCUUGACACAUAACUCCAUCCCGACCUAGCAUUGGUAUGCAACUUGCCCCAACCCGACCCAGUUGCAUGUACAUAUUCAACGUCCAACUUGCUUCUCCCCCUCACUCGGCCACGACCCAAUUACAUGUCAAACUUGACACACAACUCCGUUGAUCCAGUUGCAUGUCCAACCUACACAUACAACUUGCCCUGACCCAACUUGUCAAACCUUGACACACAACUCAACCAGACCCGAUUGCGUGCAGUUUCGACAUGUAACUUGCCCACCAACCCGACUCAGUUACAUGUAUGUACUCGACACGCAACUUGCCCCCCAACCUGGCGUAGCUGCAUGCCCACACUCGACACACAACUUGGCCCUAAUGCCGACCCAAUUGCAUUUCAACACUCGACACUCAACAUGCCCCUCAACCCAAUCCAGUUGCCUGUGAACACUCACAUGCAACUUUCCUCCUGACCCCGACCUAGUUGCAUGUACAGUACGACUACAACUACAAACGCGGGCAAUUUGAUCAGUUUUAAAUAUGUGAAACCUUUUUUAAAUAACAUUGAACAUAUUUUAAAUGCACAACGAAUUUUUUGAAUACACGAGUAACAAUUUUAAAUACAAGUAAACAUAUCUUUUCAAAUACGCGAUACAUAUUUUUAAGUAACGUUCAACAAAUUUUAAUGGAUGAUGAACACUUUUUAAAUAUUUGAUAACAUUUUCUAACGAACAUUGUCAAUUUUUGCACGACGAUCAUUAUAUCAAUACUUUGGUGGAUAUUUUAAAUACAAUUUGAUUUUUAAAUACAAGACAAACAUUUUUCUUAUAAUGAUGAUUUUUUAAAUGCACAUUGAACUUUUUAAAAAAUACAUGAUGAACAUUAAAUUUACGAGAUUGUUUUAGGCCCAUGGACAUUUUUAAGUUUCAUGGAUACUUUUUAAAAUUUUGAAAACAUUUUAAAUUUUUCAUGAUUUUUUUAUUAACAUUUUUAGUUGUGCACACAACACAUAUGUUGAAAGAUCGUGAAUGUCGCCUAGGGGGGGUGAAUAGGCGCUUUAAAAUAAUUACGGUUGAGGCUUGAACAAAUGCGGAAUAAACCUAGCGGUUAAUUUGUCAAGCACAAAACCUACAACAACUAGGCUCACCUAUGUGCACCAACAACUUAUGCUAAGCAAGAAAAACUACUUAGGUGAUAGCAAGAUAUAUGACAAGAAACAAUAUGGCUAUCACAAGGUAAAGUGUAUAAGUAAAGGGCUCGGGUAAGAGAUAACCGAGGCACGCGGAGACGACGAUGUAUCCCGAAGUUCACACCCUUGCGGAUGCUAAUCUCAGUUUGGAGCGGUGUGGAGGCACAAUGCUCCCCAAGAAGCCACUAGGGCCACCGUAAUCUCCUCAAGCCCUCGCACAAUGCAAGAUGCCGUGAUUCCACUAAGGGACCCUUGAGGGCGGUCACCGAACCCGUACAAAUGGCAACCCUUGGGGGCGGUCACCGAACCUGUACACUUUGGCAACCCUUGGGGGCGGUCACCGGAACCCGUCAAAUUGCUCGGGGCGAUCUCCACAACCUAAUUGGAGACCCCGACGCUUGCCCGGAGCUUUACACCACAAUGAUUGAGCUCCGAACACCACCAACCGUCUAGGGCGCCCAAGCACCCAAGAGGAACAAGCUCAAGGGUACCAAGCACCCAAGAGGAACAAGCUCAAGGGUACCAAGCACCCAAGAGUAAUAAGCUUCUCAACUUGUAACUUCCACGUAUCACCGUGGAGAACUCAAACCGAUGCACCAAAUGCAAUGGUAAGGGCACACAGAGUGCCCAAGUCCUUCUCUCUCAAAUCCCACCAAAGCAACUAAUGCUAGGGAGGAAAUUGAGACGAAGAACAAGAAGGAGAACACCAAGAACUCCAAGAUCUAGAUCCAAGGGGUUCCCCUCACAUAGAGGAGAAAGUGAUUGGUGGAAAUGUGGAUCUAGAUCUCCUCUCUCUUUUCCCUCAAAAACUAGCAAGAAUCCAUGGAGGAAUUGAGAGUUAGCAAGCUCGAAGAAGGUCAACAAUGGGGGAAGAACACGAGCUCAAGAGAUAAGGUUCAUUGGGGAAGAAGACCCCCUUUUAUAGGAGGGGGAAAAUCCAACCGUUAUGUGCUCAGCCCGCACACGAGCGGUACUACCGCUCGGGCGGAAGAAGCAGUGAAAAGGACCAACAAAACAAGAACCUUGGGGCGGCAGUACCGCCGAUAAGCGGUACUACCGCUCGCCCCAGCGGUACUACCGCUGGAGGAGCAGAACACAGGACAAAAGGAGGCAGGACAGAGCAGAGUACGGUGGCAGUAGUGCAGUAGCGGUACUACCGCUCGACCGGAGCGGUAUACCGCUAAUAGGCGGAACUACCGUGCCUUACUGCCGCGCGACUACCGCUGAACCCGACACGAAAAGAGCAGACCCAAAAUCGAGGCGGUAGUAGAGCGGUACUGGAGCGGUACUACCGCUUGACGCUACAAGCGGUACUACCGCUGCCACCGCGGUACUACCGCUGGGAGAAAAACAGAACUGCCAAAACUUCUUCAUAUGAGCUCCGAAUUGAGCAAACUCAAGCUUGUUGGAUACAAGACGACGAGUAGCAUCAAAACAACGACUAGUUAUAGUAAGAAGAGGCAGGGGAGGUAUGCCAACAAAUAGAGGAGUGAAACCUUCAACCGAGAAGAACCGGCAUAACCUCCAACAUCGAAAACAUCAUAGAAGAUGCGAGUGAACUCCGUUUUCGAUGAACUCGAGCUUGUCAUCAAGAUGACCAUAAGCUCCAAAACUCACAAAGAGAAGAACCAAACAAGAACCAAUAAAGAUGAUGCAAGGAUGCAAUGGUUUGAGCUCUCUAUGAACGAUACGAUCAAGCUACUCAUCGAGAGCCCCCCUUGAUAGUACGGCAAUCGAUCCUAUAACCCGGUCUCCCAGCUAUCAUCACGAGACCGGUAAAAUAGAAAACCUAUCAAGAGCAAACCUUUGCCUUGCACAUGGUCCACUUGAGCUAGAUGAUGACGAUCUUGACUCCCUCAAGAUGAACCACCUUUCUUGAUUGCGUUGGCUCGAUGAAGACUAGUUGAUUGCUCCCUCAUACUCACAAGUCCAUUGUCACCACAAUGGCUUCAAGCAUUUGAUCUCUUCGUGAUGCUUUACUUGAACUUGCGCGCUUCACUUGAACUUGCACACCGCAACCUAACCCCACAAAGAACUCUCACGAAGACCAUGGGUUAGUACACAAAGCGUAAUUGACAAUGCUUACCAUACCAUGGGAUCGCUUGAUCCCUCAGUACAUCUUGUGCGCUUUGUGUGUUGAUCAACUUGAUUCACUCUUGACCUAGUCUUGAUCAACCUUGAUUCUUUCCAACUCUCUUCAUUUGGAUGAUGUCUUGAAGGUAAACAUGAAUGAUCACACAAUCUUCUUCUUCAAGACAUGCUUGCAAUAAGCUCAACUCUCACAUGACCAAUCUUUGGAUAAUUCCUUAAUAACACCUUGGUCACCACAUAAACUCCUUGAAACCAACACAUGGACUUCAAGAAAUGCCUAUGGACAAAUCCUUCAAAUAUAACUCAAGGCACCCAUUAGUCCAUAGAGAUUGUCAUCAAUUACCAAAACCAAACAUGGGGGCACCGCAUGUUCUUUCACAUGUUUUGUGUAUCCUUUUUAUAGAACAAAAACUUGCAAUCUCCCAUUCAAAAUAGAACAACAACUUGCCUAUCAAAAAGAAAACAACGUGGUGCAACAUUUUUUUCUCUCUGUGUGUGUAUUGUGUAUGGGAAUUUUUAUAAUGACUUUUGCUUUGGCUGGAUUGUUUUUUNNNNNNNNNNNNNNNNNNNNNNNNNNNNNNNNNNNNNNNNNNNNNNNNNNNNNNNNNNNNNNNNNNNNNNNNNNNNNNNNNNNNNNNNNNNNNNNNNNNNNNNNNNNNNNNNNNNNNNNNNNNNNNNNNNNNNNNNNNNNNNNNNNNNNNNNNNNNNNNNNNNNNNNACCAUACACUUUACUUGCCCAGCGUGUGAAUACUUUUUUCUUGUGCAACAACAACAACAUUGACAAUAAGGGCAUCCCCAAUGUCAUGAUGUCAAAUUUGUGAUGUGGCCAGAACUUUGCCAUCGAUGUCAAAUAGCCCAUUUCUCCACAGUGUACUGUUUCUCAUAUUGUGUACAACAUCCUCACAGUAAGACCCCCGCAAAAAUAUAAUGCUUUAGAAAAUUGCUACAUGUAUGCCAACCCCACAUGGUUCGUGUAGUUUGGUGAGAUCCAUAUAGUAUUUUAUUGUCUUGGGAAGUUUGGCACCGAAGCACGAAGAAAGCUUCGGUUCAUAUUGGUUUGCGUACGGCACUAGUCUCCACAAUGUAUGAUGACGCUGUGAGGAACCGAAACUCAAUUUGGCAAUGCUAUUUGGCACACACAUUGUGGGUGCCCUAACAACGACAAUAGCCCAGGCCCAAUAGAAGGUUGUCGGGGUGUCGGCCUGUGGUGUGCUGGAGAGGGCCCGGCAAAACAAAACAGUGUCAAAACAAAGAAGACAACAAAAACAAGUGGCGACAACAAACACCAAAACAUCCAUCCAGCGGCUGGAACAGGAUCUGAACCCGUCCCGCGGCUACCUACAACUGCGCGCCACCACUGCGCCGUAGCCACCGCCCAGAACCACGCGCGACGCAACGUCCAGGCAGCCCCGCCCAGAAAUAGCCACCUCCGGCAGCUACAUAACACCGCCCCGUCGCCUCUCCCCACGCCACAUCCACAGCGAACCAAGCCUCAGAGAUCACUACGCACAGCAGCAGCACCAGCACCGCCAGGAAGUGCAGUAGUCGACGCAGCUGAGCCAUGGCCCGCCGCACGGCCCUCAUCCUCGCCGCGCUCCUCCUCGUCGCCCUGGCCGUCGCGCCGUUGGCCAACGCCAAGAAGGCCGCCAAGGACAAGGAGGAGAAGGCCUCCGACGCCCCCUCGGCCGACGCGCCGGCCGCCGACUCGCCCGCGGAGGGGCCCUCCGAUGGACCGGCGGCUGCCCCCGGGCCUGAGGGCAUCGCCGGCCUCUCGCCCGACAACGACGACAACGACGACAAGUGAACCCGAGUGCAUGCCCUUCUGGAAGGAUCCGUUCGAUGCUGACCAGAUCGUCCGCAUGGAUUUUAGUUUCGAGACAAUAAUAAUACUACUACGUAUAGGCCUGUUGCCCUGCUAGGAGGAUGCCGUCGUAAUUCAAAUUUUUGUUUUUCCGUCUUUUCAAGUGUUAUUAUGAGCCGUGUUAUUUGUCGUGUUCCUUAAUUCGUGUUAUUUGUAAUAACAGUAUUUAUCGAAUCAAAUAUUUCCGUGUUAGCAUAUAUAUGGCUCCCUCCAGUUUGCAAAUCAUUUUUUAUUUUUUAUGUAACACACAUUCUCAUAUGCCCUAAUUGAACGCAACAAUAAUUCAGUGAAAAUGCUAUCUGGUGAACGUUUGUCAGAAGCCCAAUCCUGACGAACGCCCGAUCUAAAUGAUGGUGGCAGUUUCCUGCACAAAAACUGCCGUUAAUUAAACAAACUGCAUUGGAAGUUUUGCAAAAAUGCCACUCCUCCUACCAUGACUGCUAGCCACGCCUUUCACAAAUGCCAUCUUGGCUGGAAAUGGCUCUUGGCUAUCGCAGUCCUAAUUUAGGGUGUUACGCCAUAAACAAAUAGCCAUCGAAACAACUUCUAGCAAAUCCAAGAAAGAAAGAAGAGGAUUACUACACGUGAAAGAAAUUAUACUCCAUAAUCCCAUAUAUAGACGUACAAAAUCUUAAAAUCACACUUGGAAUGUUCCAAGUCAUAAAAAAAACAUGAGACACAUAAAAUUAGAGACAGUUUUGCCAUUACCAUACUCCACAUCCUUUUUUAUUCAAAAAAUCUGCAUAUGUGUUUUGAGGGACCAUAAUUCUGUAAAAAAGUGUACUAAAGGCUUGUGUAGGUAUUUAAUUUGGAGGAUAGUUGAUGGUUAGUUGUUUGAUUUGUAGCAUUUGUAGCCCAGUGUAAUUGUUCGGCUGCACUCAUACCCUUGAAAAUAACCCUUACAUUUUUCAAGCUUUAAAAAACUUGUGUGUGCUUCCCGAUAAUGCAAAAAAUUCAGUGCCCUAUGUUACAUUGUAUUGCAGAUUUUAUCCCCAAGGGCUUUGUUAUACUAGUGUAAUCUGUGCUUGAAUAGAAUAUAUGGCACCGCUGGCGUCUUUUCUUGGUCGAAAGAAAAAGGCACGAUAUUCUAAUCUUAUAUUCUAGGCUCCAAUGUAUUAUUCACAUAUAUGGGCUCUGAGUACAAUCGGCUUUAAUCUUGAAAUUCUAGAUGAUAAACCCGACAUACAUGUGGUAGUUUUUCUUUUUACAAUUUUACAAAGAGAAGUCCAUAUAAAUUCAUGUGCCACAUAUGUCUUUUGGUGCUUCUUUCUGUUUCUCUUGAUGAUCUUGUUUCCUUUUUAGAAGCCUUACUAAUAAUUUGUUGUGAUUCUGAUUUUCAUCGUACUUCUUUAGUGUUAUAUAUGGAUACAUGUCACGGCUUUUUACUGGUACCGACCUCCCAGUAAGAUGAAGUUAUCCUUAUUGCAACAAUUAAGUUACAAGCUUUUCUUUUUUACUUAAUACUAGAUGAUAUGAGUAGGAAUUUUAAAUUACUAAUAUAUGAACUAAAAUACAUAUGAGUCACUAUAUGUAAUUUAUCGAUUUGAGUCUUUUCCCGUGCAUAUUUACAUGUUGAGGUGAACAUUUCUCAUUGCAUGUUCAAGUGGCAUGUGUGCAUGGUGAGAAAAAUAGGUUAGUAGAGGCUAAAUACUAGAUAUAAUAUAAAUUAAUAAUAUAAGAACUAAAAUUUAUAAUACAUAUGUUUUAGUAUAUACAAUUAUUUAGCAAAAUCUUUUUCCAUGCAUAUUUGCAUGUUGUGGUGAGUCUUUUUCGUGCAUGUUGGCAUCCUCAUAUAGCAUGUGUACCAUGUUGUGAAAAAUAGGUUAGUGGAGGCUAAUUAUUUAGAUAUAGAAGAUAACUACUUGGGGUGGAUUCAGUAAUUUCUUGCCACAUAAUAAUUAAACAUGUCAUCUUUAAACCGAAUGAGCUUAAAGUCGGGCGCAACUCCAUGUGCAUUUGUAGACCGAGAAAUGCCCAAAUAAUUAGUUGCACAGUUCUACGACUAAGCGUGCUUGGUUCACCGACUAUUUCUGAAUGAGAUAGGGAUAGCCAUCUUGUGGUUGAUCAUGUUUGGCUCAGAGCACCAAGAUUUUGGAAUGUUCCGUGAGAUAAAAAAAAUAAACA